AAUAUUAUAAAAAUAUAAUUCCGUAUAAUCUCGGGAAUAGGGCCCGGAAGUUUCUACCGACUAGCCACAAACUGGUCGACUACGGGAUAGUAAUAGAUUAAU
This 102-nucleotide non-coding RNA is filed under the name Halobacteroides halobius. Its description in RNAcentral is "Guanine sequence". It matches the Rfam family "Purine riboswitch aptamer". From Rfam's summary of the family: Riboswitches are metabolite binding domains within certain messenger RNAs that serve as precision sensors for their corresponding targets. Allosteric rearrangement of mRNA structure is mediated by ligand binding, and this results in modulation of gene expression. The record is from RNAcentral. RNAcentral also lists the same sequence under 1 other name. Lineage: Bacteria; Bacillati; Bacillota; Clostridia; Halanaerobiales; Halobacteroidaceae.